CCUGGUUCCCUCUGAAACCAGCUGGGUAACCUCCGCCAAGCCACUGAGCCUCUCUGAGCCUCCAGGUUUCCUCUCUCAAGUGGGGAAAACUGUCCCCAUGCUGCCCUCUCUCCAGACUGCGUUCCAGGAGAUAAUAGGGAAAGUGCUUAUAAAUCGUGAAGUGCUCUUCGUAAGCCAGAGGUUAUUACAGAAUGUUGAGCAGAAUUUGGAAUUAAAGAAAAUCAUAAAAAUGCAAAUUUUAUUUUAAACAAUAUUAUUUUAUGAAUAUUACUUUUUAAGGUGUACAGUAGGAAUGCUGUUAUGUGGGAGAGGUUCUUCAUUUUUCUGAGAUACAUCGCAAAGUGUUAGAGAAGAGCCAGGAUAGGCUUAAACUGAAGACGUCACUUCACAGAGGAGGAGUCUGGCCUGGGAGUGAGAGGCAUGAGGUCAGAACUGGGGCUGGAGCUGGGCUUGGAAGGCCAGGCGCUCACCCCUGCACCGCACUUCCUGCCCGGUCCCUUUGUCUUCUGAGUCCCAUCAGGCAGGCCACACAUACACACGUGAAGAACGGUUAGCAGUGUUUAUUCACCAGAACAUCGUGGGCAGGUGGGAACCGUGUUAGCUGGAUUUCAGCUGGGGGAGGAAAGAGAGGGAGGGAGGAGAAGGAGGGAGAGAGAGAGGGAGAGAGGAGCUCUUUUCUUUG
Non-coding RNA from Odocoileus virginianus texanus, 682 nucleotides. The record is from RefSeq and is a predicted model, not a curated record. NCBI's taxonomy places the organism in Eukaryota, Metazoa, Chordata, Mammalia, Artiodactyla, Cervidae.